This 1529-nucleotide ribosomal RNA is filed under the name Escherichia coli 2720900. RNAcentral describes it as "bacterial SSU rRNA". It matches the Rfam family "Bacterial small subunit ribosomal RNA". Lineage: Bacteria; Pseudomonadati; Pseudomonadota; Gammaproteobacteria; Enterobacterales; Enterobacteriaceae. The record is from RNAcentral.
GAGUUUGAUCAUGGCUCAGAUUGAACGCUGGCGGCAGGCCUAACACAUGCAAGUCGAACGGUAACAGGAAGCAGCUUGCUGCUUCGCUGACGAGUGGCGGACGGGUGAGUAAUGUCUGGGAAACUGCCUGAUGGAGGGGGAUAACUACUGGAAACGGUAGCUAAUACCGCAUAACGUCGCAAGACCAAAGAGGGGGACCUUCGGGCCUCUUGCCAUCGGAUGUGCCCAGAUGGGAUUAGCUUGUUGGUGGGGUAACGGCUCACCAAGGCGACGAUCCCUAGCUGGUCUGAGAGGAUGACCAGCCACACUGGAACUGAGACACGGUCCAGACUCCUACGGGAGGCAGCAGUGGGGAAUAUUGCACAAUGGGCGCAAGCCUGAUGCAGCCAUGCCGCGUGUAUGAAGAAGGCCUUCGGGUUGUAAAGUACUUUCAGCGGGGAGGAAGGGAGUAAAGUUAAUACCUUUGCUCAUUGACGUUACCCGCAGAAGAAGCACCGGCUAACUCCGUGCCAGCAGCCGCGGUAAUACGGAGGGUGCAAGCGUUAAUCGGAAUUACUGGGCGUAAAGCGCACGCAGGCGGUUUGUUAAGUCAGAUGUGAAAUCCCCGGGCUCAACCUGGGAACUGCAUCUGAUACUGGCAAGCUUGAGUCUCGUAGAGGGGGGUAGAAUUCCAGGUGUAGCGGUGAAAUGCGUAGAGAUCUGGAGGAAUACCGGUGGCGAAGGCGGCCCCCUGGACGAAGACUGACGCUCAGGUGCGAAAGCGUGGGGAAGCAAACAGGAUUAGAUACCCUGGUAGUCCACGCCGUAAACGAUGUCGACUUGGAGGUUGUGCCCUUGAGGCGUGGCUUCCGGAGCUAACGCGUUAAGUCGACCGCCUGGGGAGUACGGCCGCAAGGUUAAAACUCAAAUGAAUUGACGGGGGCCCGCACAAGCGGUGGAGCAUGUGGUUUAAUUCGAUGCAACGCGAAGAACCUUACCUGGUCUUGACAUCCACAGAACUUUCCAGAGAUGGAUUGGUGCCUUCGGGAACUGUGAGACAGGUGCUGCAUGGCUGUCGUCAGCUCGUGUUGUGAAAUGUUGGGUUAAGUCCCGCAACGAGCGCAACCCUUAUCCUUUGUUGCCAGCGGUCCGGCCGGGAACUCAAAGGAGACUGCCAGUGAUAAACUGGAGGAAGGUGGGGAUGACGUCAAGUCAUCAUGGCCCUUACGACCAGGGCUACACACGUGCUACAAUGGCGCAUACAAAGAGAAGCGACCUCGCGAGAGCAAGCGGACCUCAUAAAGUGCGUCGUAGUCCGGAUUGGAGUCUGCAACUCGACUCCAUGAAGUCGGAAUCGCUAGUAAUCGUGGAUCAGAAUGCCACGGUGAAUACGUUCCCGGGCCUUGUACACACCGCCCGUCACACCAUGGGAGUGGGUUGCAAAAGAAGUAGGUAGCUUAACCUUCGGGAGGGCGCUUACCACUUUGUGAUUCAUGACUGGGGUGAAGUCGUAACAAGGUAACCGUAGGGGAACCUGCGGUUGGAUCACC